This 435-nucleotide ribosomal RNA is filed under the name uncultured bacterium. Its description in RNAcentral is "bacterial SSU rRNA". It matches the Rfam family "Bacterial small subunit ribosomal RNA", at positions 64 to 507 of the family's 1533-position model. The record is from RNAcentral.
GAACGAGAAAGGGGAGCAAUCCCUGAGUAAAGUGGCGACCGGGUGAGUAACACGUGACCAACCUACCCUCGAGUGGGGAAUAACUCCGGGAAACCGGAGCUAAUACCGCAUAUUCUGACGAGGUCUGCGGACUUUGUCAGGAAAGGAGCAAUUCGCUUUGAGAGGGGUCCGCGGCUGAUUAGCUAGUUGGUGGGGUAAUGGCUCACCAAGGCCACGAUCAGUAGCCGGUCUGAGAGGACGGUCGGCCACACUGGAACUGAGACACGGUCCAGACUCCUACGGGAGGCAGCAGUGGGGAAUUUUUCGCAAUGGGGGCAACCCUGACGAAGCAACGCCGCGUGGGUGAUGAAGUAUUUCGGUACGUAAAACCCUUUCGACGGGGACGAAACCGCAAGGUUGACGGUACCCGUAGAAGAAGCCCCGGCUAACUCCGUG